CCUACGGGAGGCAGCAGUGAGGAAUAUUGGUCAAUGGACGAACGUCUGAACCAGCCAAGUAGCGUGAGGGAUGACUGCCCUAUGGGUUGUAAACUUCUUUUGUCUGGGAGUAAAGCUUUCCACGUGUGGGAUUUUGUAUGUACCAUAUGAAUAAGGAUCGGCUAACUCCGGGCCAGCAGCCGCGGUAAUAAGGAGGAUUCGAGCGUUAACCGGAUUUAUUUGGGUUAAAGGGAUAGUAGGUGGAUAGUUCAGUUAGUCGUGAAAGUUUGGGGGUGAAACGUAACAUUGCAGUUGAAACUGGCAGUCUUGAGUACAGUAGAGGUGGGCGGAAUGCGUGGUGUAGCGGUGAAAUGCAUAGAUAUCACGAAGAACUCCGAUUGCGAAGGCAGCUUACUGGAGUGCAACUGACACUGAGGCUCGAAAGUGUGGGUAUCAAACAGGAUUAGAUACCCCUGUAGUC
Molecule: ribosomal RNA, 460 nt
Filed under: uncultured bacterium
Lineage: Bacteria
Description: partial 16S ribosomal RNA
Rfam family: Bacterial small subunit ribosomal RNA
Source: RNAcentral